UACGGAGGGUGCGAGCGUUGUUCGGAAUUACUGGGCGUAAAGCGCGUGCAGGCGGCCGAUUAAGUCCGGUGUGAAAGCCCGGGGCUCACCCCCGGAAGUGCGCUGGAAACUGGUCGGCUAGAGUACGGGAGAGGGAAGCGGAAUUCCUGGUGUAGCGGUGAAAUGCGUAGAUAUCAGGAGGAACACCGGCGGCGAAGGCGGCUUCCUGGACCGAUACUGACGCUGAGACGCGAAAGCGUGGGGAG
Molecule: ribosomal RNA, 245 nt
Filed under: uncultured delta proteobacterium
Lineage: Bacteria; Deltaproteobacteria
Description: partial 16S ribosomal RNA
Rfam family: Bacterial small subunit ribosomal RNA
Source: RNAcentral